This 1461-nucleotide ribosomal RNA is filed under the name Helicobacter pylori. Its description in RNAcentral is "bacterial SSU rRNA". It matches the Rfam family "Bacterial small subunit ribosomal RNA". The record is from RNAcentral. Lineage: Bacteria; Pseudomonadati; Campylobacterota; Epsilonproteobacteria; Campylobacterales; Helicobacteraceae.
UUUUGACCCUGGCUCAGAGUGAACGCUGGCGGCGUGCCUAAUACAUGCAAGUCGAACGAUGAAGCUUCUAGCUUGCUAGAGUGCUGAUUAGUGGCGCACGGGUGAGUAACGCAUAGGUCAUGUGCCUCUUAGUUUGGGAUAGCCAUUGGAAACGAUGAUUAAUACCAGAUACUCCCUACGGGGGAAAGAUUUAUCGCUAAGAGAUCAGCCUAUGUCCUAUCAGCUUGUUGGUAAGGUAAUGGCUUACCAAGGCUAUGACGGGUAUCCGGCCUGAGAGGGUGAACGGACACACUGGAACUGAGACACGGUCCAGACUCCUACGGGAGGCAGCAGUAGGGAAUAUUGCUCAAUGGGGGAAACCCUGAAGCAGCAACGCCGCGUGGAGGAUGAAGGUUUUAGGAUUGUAAACUCCUUUUGUUAGAGAAGAUAAUGACGGUAUCUAACGAAUAAGCACCGGCUAACUCCGUGCCAGCAGCCGCGGUAAUACGGAGGGUGCAAGCGUUACUCGGAAUCACUGGGCGUAAAGAGCGCGUAGGCGGGAUAGUCAGUCAGGUGUGAAAUCCUAUGGCUUAACCAUAGAACUGCAUUUGAAACUACUAUUCUAGAGUGUGGGAGAGGUAGGUGGAAUUCUUGGUGUAGGGGUAAAAUCCGUAGAGAUCAAGAGGAAUACUCAUUGCGAAGGCGACCUGCUGGAACAUUACUGACGCUGAUUGCGCGAAAGCGUGGGGAGCAAACAGGAUUAGAUACCCUGGUAGUCCACGCCCUAAACGAUGGAUGCUAGUUGUUGGGGGGACUUAGUCUCUCCAGUAAUGCAGCUAACGCAUUAAGCAUCCCGCCUGGGGAGUACGGUCGCAAGAUUAAAACUCAAAGGAAUAGACGGGGACCCGCACAAGCGGUGGGCAUGUGGUUUAAUUCGAAGAUACACGAAGAACCUUACCUAGGCUUGACAUUGAGAGAAUCCGCUAGAAAUAGUGGAGUGUCUAGCUUGCUAGACCUUGAAAACAGGUGUGCACGGCUGUCGUCAGCUCGUGUCGUGAGAUGUUGGGUUAAGUCCCGCAACGAGCGCAACCCCCUUUCUUAGUUGCUAACAGGUUAUGCUGAGAACUCUAAGGAUACUGCCUCCGUAAGGAGGAGGAAGGUGGGGACGACGUCAAGUCAUAUGGCCCUUACGCCUAGGGCUACACACGUGCUACAAUGGGGUGCACAAAGAGAAGCAAUACUGUGAAGUGGAGCCAAUCUUCAAAACACUCUCAGUUCGGAUUGUAGGCUGCAACUCGCCUGCAUGAAGCUGGAAUCGCUAGUAAUCGCAAAUCAGCCAUGUUGCGGUGAAUACGUUCCCGGGUCUUGUACUCACCGCCCGUCACACCAUGGGAGUUGUGUUUGCCUUAAGUCAGGAUGCUAAAUUGGCUACUGCCCACGGCACACACAGCGACUGGGGUGAAGUCGUAACAAGGUAAAACU